RNAcentral lists this long non-coding RNA (241 nucleotides) under Gossypium barbadense (sea-island cotton). RNAcentral's name for it is "long non-coding RNA (GBAR_LNC001688)". Lineage: Eukaryota; Viridiplantae; Streptophyta; Magnoliopsida; Malvales; Malvaceae. The record is from RNAcentral.
ACCAUCUAAGCCACCGGAACCAUCUCUAAUCUUUGCCCUACCAAAAAUAUAUUAGAAAGUGGCAGUUUCUCCUCACUUCCAAUGUCUAGAACCUAAAAUCUUUGGGUUAACACAUAAACAAAAUAAGUCAAAACAGAAACUUUGUAACAAUGAUAAUGAAAAGAUAAUGUUUCUAAUCCCACACCUAUUUUACAAUCGGUAUAGAUGACGGAGGAGCGACAAUCCUAAAACUUCCCAAACC